RNAcentral lists this long non-coding RNA (2244 nucleotides) under Bemisia tabaci. RNAcentral's name for it is "lncRNA ENSSSA3NGG011583". Lineage: Eukaryota; Metazoa; Arthropoda; Insecta; Hemiptera; Aleyrodidae. The record is from RNAcentral.
GUCCUCAAGGCACGUACAUCAUUCAGUAUCAAUUGUCCAAAGUUGAUCCUAAAUUUAGGCUUGAGAAAACAUGGCCUGUUCGGCAUAUAUCUAGAAGGACAUUAGCUAAUGGUGUAAUUUAUGGGGAGAAUGAUGUUUACAAGGUUCGAGAUCUGCGCUCAGAGGAUGUUGUGACCAGUUUUAAGAUAAGUUGCCAGUUUUUGAAUCAGAGGCUGCCUAUGUUUCUUGGUGACACUGAAUCCCUUGUGAUCAAAGAAGACACGAAAUGUAGUCUUUUCAUCAAAGCUGUUAAUGGUGUUACGAUUGGGAAGCUGGACAUCCAAAUAAAUGUUGGAAGCAGCAUUGAAUCUUUACCCCGCCUGAAACUUUUUCAGAAGUGUGCAGGGAAGAAAUUGAUGAGCUGAUUCCUAGCUCAAAUUUUGAGUCUUUCAAAGCCAAAUCAAAUGCUUCAAAAUACUUAAUUCUGAAAGCUCAGUUAAGAAAUGCUAGUGAUGAAAAAUUGAAAAAUGUUCCUUCGGCCCAGUAUAAUUCUUAUCUAGACAACUUUAACUCUCCGUACAAAACUCCCCUGGAAACUUGUAAUGUCGCAAGUCUCCAACAUCCUCCAUCUCAGCCAACUAGUUACAUGUUAUCAGAUUUACACAGUAGUAGUGGUGAUUUCACUGAUGAGCACUAAACAACCCCGCAACUUGAUGCUCUGAACUCCAAGACUAAUGCUAGAUCACAUGUUGGUGCGCAACAAUAUUUCAAUCAAAAUUCUAGCAGGACCAAUGACUCUGCUGAUUUCCACAAUGCUGCUCCAAAGAAAUAUGUGAUUGUCACUCAUGAGUUUAAUGUCAUCAUCAGAAAUUUUGAUCAUCACCAAGACUAUGUGGUCAGUUACGUUUUUCCUGAAAGCAACUCUCAUGAAAAUGGGAAAGUUUUUUCCAGUUGGUCUGAAGUCUCUAUUUCAACGAACCUUAGUCGUCCUUUCUUCAUAUCACUACCCUAUGGAGUAUCACUGAAAAAUUUCCUUAAAAAAACUGGGAAAAAGUCGAUCAUAUUUUAUUUCAAACAACCAUCACAAAACAAGACAUCUGCCAAGGCUGUGUUGGAUCUUGCUGAGUUGUAUCUGAUUGAGAAACUGUACAGGUCAUCAGCCUGUUCAUCUUUCUGUGCCAAAACACUCAAGGUUCCUCUUUUCAAAGGAAAUAAUGAAAACCCAUUUGGGGUUGUGGAAAUUUGUAUUGAAUACCGUAAUUGGAUCAGAAAAUUUGACAAUUUCAAGAGUGAAUCCUUACCCUCUGAUCAAAUAGUUCAUAAAAGUUUGAGUGCAAGAUCCAGAAAUAAUUUGAAACAAAAUUUGCGCCAAAAAAAUGCAACUUCAUCAAGAAUCUCUGUUGAUGACGGUGCUCAACAUCUUGAGCAAGAGCAAUCAAAUAAAGAUUCUACUGAUUCCAGACUGCUAAACGUAACGUUCUGUGUGAAUGAAAAUAAAAAUGUCUUGCAGGAGUCUCAUCAACAUACAUUCAGUGAUGAGUCGAAAGUAGGAUCAUCGGAUAGUAUUCAGAUAACAGAGGAUGGUGGAGACUCUCCAUUAACUAUUCAUUACGAAAGAGGAAAUCCCUCAACUGUCUCGAAAUCUGAUAGAUUUAGCCACCCUAUAUUUACUUUACCUGAUUGUAGAACAAAAACUCAAGAGAUGAGUGGCUUAAAUGAAAAAUCUGAGAUAGAUGCAGCACAGUAUUUAAGCCAGCUAAAAAUAAAUGAUGCCAGUCCUUAUUCUGGUGAAAGGCAACAGACUGAAAAGAGUGAUGAAGCAAAUUUAAGCGCCCUCUCAAUUUUGAAAACGUCUCAUUUGAUUUCACCAAAUGCUGUCUCCUCACAUUUCCAAACCUCUGCAUCAAGUGGUAUGUUUGCUGCUCCUAUUCUCAUUUGGUUUUGGGUGGCGAAUCAAUCAACAAUGCUUAUAAAAAUGGUAACGAAAACAUAGUUGCAGAUCAAACUCAACCAUUACUCGCUGGUUGCUUACCUACUACAAGUCCCAAUCAGAUCAAUGGAAGCAAAAGGAUGGCAGGAGAAUCAUUCAUUGGGCCUAACAGCACUCCAACCUUCAGUGAUGAACAGAUUUUCAAUUUGAUACCGACAAAACUAAUACGGCUAAAUCACAUCCGCAUGAAUCGAGCAGAAAAAAUGUAACCUUAGCGAGCUUCGACCCGAGGAUCAAAGUUGAAGAAACGCUGUUUGAUAAAUAUGACAGCUUCC